RNAcentral lists this ribosomal RNA (440 nucleotides) under uncultured bacterium. RNAcentral's name for it is "partial 16S ribosomal RNA". It matches the Rfam family "Bacterial small subunit ribosomal RNA", at positions 338 to 795 of the family's 1533-position model. The record is from RNAcentral.
CCUACGGGUGGCAGCAGUGGGGAAUAUUGCACAAUGGGGGAAACCCUGAUGCAGCGACGCCGCGUGAGUGAAGAAGGAUUUCGGUAUGUAAAGCUCUAUCAGCAGGGAAGAAAAGGACGGUAACUGAUGAAGAAGCCCCGGCGAACUACGUGCCAGCAGCCGCGGUAAUACGGAGGGGGCAAGCGUUAUCCGGAUUUACUGGGUGGAAAGGGAGGGUAGACGGGGAGGCAAGUCAGAAGUGAAAGCCCGGGGCUCAACUCCGGGACUGCUUUUGAAACUGUGUGACUGGAGUGCAGGAGAGGUAAGCGGCUUUCCUGGUGUAGCGGUGAAAUGCGUAGAUAUCAGGAGGAACACCAGUGGCGAAGGCGGCUUACUGGACUGUACCUGACGUUGAGGCUCGAAAGCGUGGGGAGCAAACAGGAUUAGAUACCCCUGUAGUC